RNAcentral lists this ribosomal RNA (263 nucleotides) under uncultured bacterium. Its description in RNAcentral is "partial 16S ribosomal RNA". It matches the Rfam family "Bacterial small subunit ribosomal RNA", at positions 57 to 305 of the family's 1533-position model. The record is from RNAcentral.
GCAAGUCGUACGAGAAAGUUCCUUCGGGGAUGAUUAAAGUGGCGCACGGGUGAGUAACGCGUAGGUGACAUACCUUAAGAUGGGGGACAACAGAGAGAAAUUUCUGCUAAUACCGCAUAUAUAAAGAGAAUUUGGAAAUAUCUUUAUAAAGAUGGCCUCUCCUUGGAAGCUAUUGUCUUGAGAAUGGCCUGCGUACCAUUAGCUUGUUGGUGGGGUAAUGGCUUACCAAGGCUUUGAUGGUUAACCGGUCUGAGAGGAUGAUC